UUGAAAUGCACUGGGCCUCACUCAGGGAUCAGCAAUGGCUUUUGUCUCUGGCCUGGACUGCAGGGAUCUGGCUGUGCCUAGAUGUGAAGAGGCAAUGCACAGUAAGGAAGAAGGCACAUGUGCGGGCGUGCAAGCUUGGGCAGGUGCACAUGGAGCCAGCAAGGAUUCUCCAGGGAGCCACCAUCACCCUGAUAUCCAGCGGGAGCUGGUCUGAGCUACGUUACUCCCAAGCCCUGCUAGCUGGCUCCCCAGGAAAGCAAGAACUCACACAAAUGACUCUUGGGCGUUUGUGGAAGAGCUGAGUCCUCAUCACUUCCUGUGGGCCUUUCUGAGCAUAAUAAGAUCCUCUCUCUUGCAUCAGCCAACCCAGGAGCUGCUGAUAAACCAUGGCACAAGCUUGAGCCAGAGUUGACCUUAACCAUUGACAGCCCACUGAGCACUCAUCAUGUGCUAAGCAUUAUCUCAUUAAACCUUCACCACAAUCCUGCAAGGUAGGUGCUGUGUUACCCCAUUUUACAGAUGAGGGGAACCAAGGCCUACAGUUCCACAGCAGAUAAUCUGCAGCAGAAAAAUUCAACCUCCAGGCAAUUCUGAAUGUAGUCAUUGGUGACGGAAGAAAAUAUUUGUCUCUGAAAGCCAUCCGUGGAGAUCAUAAAAUCAUUCCUACAUCUUGCCUUGAGCUAGCAGAAUGAAAUUGCCCAGAGUGGAAAAAGUCAAAAUGUUCUUUUUGAGAGCUUGGCUUUCCUGUGGGUGAUUUUCCAAGGUGGGUACUUCAUUGACCAACAUUUGAGUGUGACAACAGCAUCCAGCACGGACGGUCAGUACUAGCUACUACCUACAGACAAACUCCCGCAGCAAGCCUUAGAGAAUAUGCUGACUUUAUUAUAUUCUCACUUGAAACAUCCUAAGAAGGUCCACACAUUCCUUUGGGGUCAUGAGACCAUGGCAGGGGUUGGGGGCGAGGGUUGGAUUUCUGUGUAGAAUUGAAUCCUCCACAUGAUGGCACAGGGUGGUCAUUGGGGAGAGCUGGGAGCCUUUGGCUACCCUGUCUUAGCCAUGAUUUCCAGCACUGAGCAAAUGAGAGCUAAUUUUAGGUGACAUCUGGACAAGGCUUUACCUCACACUGCACCCUGCAGUGACACCACAAAGUGUCUUUUCAAUUUUCAGUCCUUCUGAACAUAGGAAGGAUAAAUUCUCAGUUUUGUAAACUUAUAUCUGCACUCAUGAGAAAAGACGGGUACCGGUUUCUGAUUUGGAGGUAUUAGGCUUUAAUUGCUUUGUAAAACAUGCCAGCCUCCCCUCCACCCAUAAUUACUCUAUGGCAGUUUUAAAGGUAGGAGGAAAUUUUAUUUAAAAACAGAUUGGUGUAUUUCUCUCACAUUCUAUGGUGUCUUUGGUUGGGCAAGAAUGCACUGGCACAGUGCUCUGCUCCUCCAGGAUUCGGUGCAAUGGCUAAGGCAGGACGUGAGGCUGGCUACGCUCUGUUCAUUACUGCUUCCUCAAAAAUCACACUGAACCAAGACCAUGGCCACGGAGACUAGGAAUGCUGUCAUCCUCCCCCGUCCUCACUCCUGUGAGGCCUGGCCUCCUGAGUCUGCCCACUUUGUAACAAGUAUUAUGAAUGGUUGGGAGAAAAGCAGCAGCCUUGGUUUUAAGCAGGGCCAGUGAUGUAAUGACCUCGUAUCUUUAAGGUUCAGUUCCUCACCUCAGGCCAAGGGGCUCCUGUUCUCUUACUUCUGGAAGGUGGGGUCUAGUUCACCCCUGCAGCCUGCUGAAGCUGUGUGCUCCAAGGGCCAGGAAUGGAUGGAGCAGGUGCAGAUGGGAUGGGUGAUGCAGCGAUAGCAGCCGCGGCACUGAGAUCGUGUCACACCCCCCAUUUCUCCAGGAGUGUCUCCUCCUGUGGGCAGGUACAGACAUCAUGCCUGGUACCAGGUUAAAGCUCUGCACACACAUUGUCUCUUUUAUUCUGCAUCCAAGCUUCAAAGGUUGGGAUCAUCAUCUGUGCACUGCAGGUGAGGAAACUGUAGCUGGGACAGGCAAAGCCCAGUCAGCUCACUGACUGCAGUGAAAUAUGCCAUUUGAUCCUGUUCACUCCUAUAGAUAGCAUGCUCUUCCAGAGAUGCAGGCUGGAGCGGGUCCCCCGGACAGUUUCUACCCAUGGCAGCAUCAGCACUGAAGUUACACCUUUGACUCAGCCAACAUCUCAGAGCUCACGUUUCCCAAGCAGCCUUGGGUCCACACAGCGACUCCCCUUGACGCUUGCAGGCCUCAGAACUCGCUGAGCUCAGUUCUCCUGAUUGGUCUUCAAGACAGUACAAGGUAGAAAUUCAGCUGGGGCCAGGUCGUCAUGAAGUCAUCCAACUCUGACCUUUAAUAUCAUCGUUAAGUGAAUGAUACACAUGCAAAUGUUGGUUGGGCGGGCUAUGUUCAAAGUGUUAGAUACUGAGGUCUUGAAUCUUUCACAGUUUUGGCAUGGCUGGCUUAACAUUUCUGCAUUUGUUAAUGAACAGAAACCAUCAUUAGAAAGAAAGCAGGAUACAGGCUAACCAGUGAAGGUCUGGGACAUAACCUAGUGGUCACCUUUGCUCAUCUCUGACUGGGACUUUGUGCUUUUGGGCUCCCUAGAGAGGCCAUCUUGAUUAGAGGCGUAGGCCUGGAGAUAGGGGGCACUCUAGUAAGGAAAGUUCAUGAUUACCACCAGGUAGCACUACAAAUCAACCAUGAACCCUUGUUCUUGAGAGAGGGAAGACUGUGGCAGGUAAGAGAGCUAGAGACCAGCUUGGGUCGCUCAGGCUCCACUCUCCCACUGAGCGGUACCUCCCCUCCCCUCCCAUCUCCACACCAAGCUUCCCAUGUGGUGGCCCUGACCUGUGUGAAUCCAUCAUGGAGAGCAACUGGAGAGCGGGUUAGUGCCACAUGGGAGGGGAAGGCUCCCUGGUGUGUAUGGUAGGCUUUCAGGUGCUUACCGACCCCAGCACUUGACCAGAAGAAGCCUCAGUCCCUUUCCUAGCAUGACCCCUUUGUCCUUCAAGAUCAUUUGCCUCUAUUUACACUAAAUAGAGGCAGCUCCAUUUUUGAGUUCCUGUAUUUUGGGCAAGCCAAGCUGGAGGUCCCCACAGCCGGUCCAAGCAGGCCUCAGCUGUCCUGGAGAUGGUCACGUGGAAGGCGCUCCCAAGCCCGCUCCUCUGACAAAGUUUAGCAAACAGCUUAUCUCCCAGAAAACACGUGAGGAUCAGAGCCACACUGGAGAGAAGGUAUUGGAGAUGUUCUGAGGAAGCCACAAUCAUUUCCUCUCUGAUGCUCUCAGAUACCUGGGCAGCUCCAACACGCGCUGUGAAGCACAGUCAUGGUGAAUGGAUGAAGCCCAGAUUUUGAUGUCUGAGAGCCACACCGGGGCUGCCCCAAUGACUUCUAUCCAAAACUGAUGACCACAGACUCCCUUGGUGGUGCCAGAGGAGAGGUAUUUUCUUUCCUGCUCUUUGUGAGUGUGACAGAUUUUAAAUAACGUACAUGUCUAGCAGCUUGGACGUGGUUAAAUGUGUUCCGUUUCGGCUCAUGAUGGAGUAAUGUGCAUUAAGAACAAACCGUAAAUCUCACCUUUCCACAACCAACACUAUGGUAAAACAGCCAAGCAGAUCCUGCAGUCAGGGUUCCUCAGGGCUGAGUGUGGAGAAAUCAGGCCAGCACAUGACAAAAUGUUAACACUCACGGCUACAAAGCUUGCAUCGUUUUUCAACAUUUUUUUUCCAUUUCCAAAAUGCCAUUUUCAUUGUAAACAUUUUAUAAAUAAUGAUCUCAAUUUUUGUAGGGGAAUAAAAGCAAAGUGAUGCAUUUGGGUGAUAGGAUCACAAUUUAUUUUUAUGUAUUAGUUUAUUUUGUUUUUAGAAACAGGGUAUUAGUAUGUAUCCCAGAACAGUCUUGAGCAUGCUACAUAGCCCUGGCUGGUCUCAAACUCACAGUGGUCCUUCUGCCUUGUCCUCUGGAAUGAUGGAAUUACCAGUGUUUGCUGCCUUGCCUGGUUUUCCCCAUGACUUUAUAGUUCCUAAAUUUUAGGCAUUUUUUUGUGUUUACUGUUAUACUGGGCAUCCUAUUUGACAUGGUUUUAAAAAUACAGGUGGAAAGGGAAAGAGAUCCAUUGCUAAGCAGCCCAUGUUUCAGGCUCCCCUUGACUCAUUCCUGGCCAUUGGUUGGGUUGUUAUUUUAUGAGCUUCUCAGAUGUUCAGGUCAGCUGACCCUGGGGAGUAGUGUGGUGCAAGAAACGUUAAGGAGGAAACGAUACCAGCCCAUGAGUGGGGUCAGACACGGUCUAGCUGGGGAGACAUACAAAUUACAGGUGUCACCCUAAAGUUUCUUAAGAGUAAACUUAGCAGUGUCUGUGACUUCGAAGUCACCCCAUCUGCUCCCCUCCAUUCCUGCUCCCUUCAGCUGCCUUUUCUGUGAAUGUAAGCGAUGUCAUCCUGUCAUUGUGAAGAUCUAAUGAUGCCUUGUGCUAAAGGUUGAGCAAAGCCCAUCUCCAGUGUGGGUCAUAUGAUAAAUGUCAUGUUAAAGGUGCGUAUGACCAACCAACAGCAAGCCAGGGCCCCGAUGUGCAGAGCUGCCUUUGGCUCACUGCAGAGCUGGUGGCUAUGAUCCCAGCAGGCAAUCUAUUUCCCUUCUGUGUCUAACUGAAAUGUGUUCUGAACCUCGCCAUAUGGCCUUGCAGAAGGAACAGGCAACUUCUCAUUCAAAGAUCAAAAGAUAAAUUAAUCUGCUACAAUGAACAGGACAGGAAGGCAGCCCUUUUGCUUUAUUCUGUAUGUUGUGACUCGGUCUACACUGCUGCUGGGGCUCUUGGUACAGAAAAGUCCUUCUGAAGCCCAUUGUAGUGACAGAGCCUCACUUGGUUUGACUUCUCACUGUGGGUUUGAGCCAUAGGCAAAGGCCCUGCUGUGCAGAAGGUCAUGACCUAAGAGCAGAAGGAAAGGACAGGAAAUGGCUGUGCAUAGGGAACAGACCGAGGGAUCUGUAACAAAGCAAAGAUCCUCUAAGUAAGCUUGGGAGUCUAGGACACCAUCCUGCAAGAGGGAGCUCAGAGAUAAAAUCAGGGGGGGAAAUCCAUAUAGGUGUUCACAUCGUUCCAUAGAGGUGUUCACAUCAUUCCACAUCGAUAUUGAUUUGUGUCUGUCCUUUGGAUCAUUGACUUUAGAAAUCUACCUCCAUCCACUGACAAGCCAUCCUGCCACGUGCUAGACAUCGGUGUGAAGGAGAAGAACACAGAGACCAUUCCUGAACAAGGAAGGUGUGCAGGAGAAUGGAACAGGGGCCAAGACUGUACUUCAGAGAGAUGGGAGGCCAGACAUUAUGACCAGACCUGGUGGCAGCUAGAACAGUUUACUAGACCCUUGGAUUCCAAGAACAGAGGCAUUCACUCUGCAGUAUGCUCAAAGACAGAGCGGGAAGUGUUGUCAGAAACAGGCAACAAAGCUAUUCCCAAUUCAUUACCUCCAGGGUUCAGGGUUCCCAGCAGGAGAAUGUAUCUCUAGAAGCAGUCUGUGGAGGCAAUGUCUUCUUCACUGAGCUCUUCAAAUAGCAUCAUGUGUGCUCUUUUACUGCAUUGCUCCCAUUGUUUGAAGUCAGUGGUGUUCACUGAUUAAGAACUGUUAUUUUUUACAACUCACAGACACGUGUACCCAGAUGCUUUCUUGACCACAAGCCCCAAAUUGCCUGGUUAUGCAACCCCAGAAUCUAUGCUAGUCUGAGAAAGGACUGUGACUCAGGGUCCAUUUUACACUGGCAUCUGGGAGCCCAGGAGGCCUCUGUGGAUCACGGCUCCCCACUUCAUAGUCUAAUCAGAAGUGCCUUGUCCGCUGUGUAUUGACUGCAGUUUCCUGAUGCUAAGUCAGUGCUGUUGGCAGUGACUUGAAGAAGCUGUCAUGCAAAUCAAAUGGUGACAAAGAAGAAUGAAGAACGGAUGAAAACAGAUAGGAUAAAGGUGUGGUGGUGACAGCGGCAGGCACACUGAACUCACAGGGGGGAAGGACAUGGUGGUGGGUGAUGCUCAGGGAGCUGCUGUCAGCAUAGCUCUCCUCCUCAUGGGUGUGUGGUUUGGGAGAUUAAGGUUCAGUUUUCCUAUUUGUAAAAAAUGAAGGCACUGCGAGGGUCUCCAUCACCAAGUUAGUAAGUUACUUACUUUGCUUGUUGGUUGGUUUUGUUUUCCAGAGUAGGGUUUCUCUGUAUAGUCCUGAC
This is a long non-coding RNA of Mus musculus (house mouse), 6225 nucleotides long. RefSeq annotates it as predicted gene 12121. The record is from RefSeq and is a predicted model, not a curated record. The transcript has 5 exons. NCBI's taxonomy places the organism in Eukaryota, Metazoa, Chordata, Mammalia, Rodentia, Muridae.